Molecule: RNA transcript, 4532 nt
Organism: Cephus cinctus (wheat stem sawfly)
Lineage: Eukaryota; Metazoa; Arthropoda; Insecta; Hymenoptera; Cephidae
Exons: 7
Source: RefSeq, a predicted model, not a curated record
UUGGGUAAUUUAUUGUCCUAUACGUAUCACACUAUAUUCUAAGGACCCUGCGACGUCUUACCAACCUUCUAUGUUUCUUCUCACGCAACCUUUCUACGUAAUGUAUCGUGGGCCGUGUAAAACGUUUGUGUUUCUAUAUAUUUUUUUCUUUCUUUCCUUCUUUUCUGCGAAUUAUCCAGUCGCCAUGCUCGAGUCCCAUUCACAGGAGGGCUGGCGAUGUUAGUGGCGCGAUUUAACAGCCAGCGCUCGGUCGCAUACUUGACUCCGGUCAUUAAUCGUAAGUGAACGUUCGUUGCGUUCGGAGCAUUCGUGGGCGUUGCAGGAAACCGUUGCGAGUGGCAAUGCGCUACUCCGGUUUCUGUUUUGGUCUACGAGAUUUCCCAGAGUUCAUUCGGUUUUCGAAAUUCGAUCGAAAGUGACAACAAACUUUGUACUUAACCAUCGCGUACCAAACAGACGAGGUUGAGUCUCGGUAUCCACUUGAGAUAUUCAAAAUGGAAUAUCUUUCAGUGUUGAGUUUGAAAUUUGGAAAAAGAUAGUAAAAACUAAUAAACAAAAUUGAACAAUAGAUAAAAAAUACAUAAAGACCUUACUUCAUUUUUGUAUACUCCGUUCCCCUCGGUUUUUGUCGCCUUUUUACGUGGACUCGUGCAGAGCCAUCUGUUCGAGAUUUCAUGGAAGGGACAUAACAGUAGCGAGGGUUCUCCUAAUUGUACCUGGAAUCGGUUAAAGCCUUAAAACGUGAUUUCUGUCAUUUUUUUUAUUUCUUUUUUUUUUAAUAACCCUACUCCUUGUUCGAAUCGACUUCUCGUCGAGAAAGACGCACGAACCUCCUAUACGCCUUGCUGUUUCCUUCGUACGCUUUCAUCGCGUUAAAUGCAUGACUAUCGUUAAGCUUCGCACACAUGUAUAUACGUCCUAUGACUUAAGAGGAUAUCAUAGCGUUAAGAAUGGAUCCUACAACGAUGCCUGGAACUAGGUAGGCUUUUAUGAAUGAAAGAGAAUCUUAUGAAUAGAGAAGUCACGACGAGGCGUUUAUACCUAUAUGGAAUAUACAACUAGAAUCUAGGUACUAUAGUACAUUAAACAUAAGACCAAUAAGUAUUCCAGACAGGAAUACAAAAUUAUUGGGUACUGAUCUCGGAUUUUGUAUCUUUAUCAUUUCCCGUUAUCCCAUGCGAAAAUUCAAGUGCCAAUGUGUCUGACUCAUUCGGAGUCUACGACAUUCUCUAAUUAUAGGAAUUAUAACACGGAACGAAUGUACCUUCUAGGAACGACUGAUCAUUCGCGGUGAGUACAGCUAACGUUCACAACUCUGUCGCAUAAUGUUCGGUUCAUAAAUGUCGUAGGAAUACCGUGAUAAAUUCUUGAAGGAAGCGUUCGUAAAGACGAGGAAUUUGAGUCGAUCCAUGAAUGGACCGGGACACAGUGUCCGAUCGGAAUUGCAUUAUUGCAUAUAGAAGGACAAGACCUACGCUUCCUAUCAAGAGGCACGCAUAAAGGCAGGAUCAUGGGUACGAAGGAGGCACAAGAGUGACGAACCAAUCCAACGUGGCAAACCUGUUACUGGAGGGAUCAAAGAAUUCGUGCAGGCUUCUGUCGCACCAGGAGUCGGGCAACAAGGAUCUUCGAGCGGAAUUAAGAAUACGACCUGCGAUGGCAAGGAUGAGGAGAAAGGGGUGGAGUAGAAUUCGUUUCAUAAAUUCGAGGAAUCACGGUGGCAGGCAUACACACGAGAAGUGGAUGUAAGAGGACGGGGAGGUGGCUGCGAGGGUCCAGAUAAAAAAUACAGAUUGUUGCCCGCGGACCGACGGGCAACAGACGCCAGUUCGGCUGUUCGGUGUGUCUGCCUGUUGCCGAUUCUAAGAACGAAUCAAAAAUGGCCGGCCAACAAAAGAAGACCGUGAUGAUGUCGGUGCCGGUGCGGUACGUGAAUUUCCCGAGGCGCAGAUGAGAGAGAGAGAAAAAACAAAGGGGGAGCGCAUAAAGGGGAGAAAAAAAGAAAGAGGAAAAUUUUUAACGGACGCGCAUGACACGCAAUGGCAAAAUCAAUGCGAUUGGCCACUGACCAGUUGGUACCACUUAACGAAAUGUUAAACGCACGAGUUCCAGGAGUUACGUCGUCGAGGAGAUCAGAGGUAGCGGCAAGAAAGGGUUGGAACGUGCCGAAAAACGAGAGUGCCGGCGUGACCGUGGUAACGGAAGUCUUCAGAGGGAGUGUCUGGUACCGGAGUCGUACCGGCUCCCUGGAAGCUGAAAACGAUGGACCGUGUCAGAGGAAUGUUUCUGAUUUUAUUACAAGUACGAGAGAUAGAGAGAAAAAAUUGUAUAGUUCAGAGAGAUAAUUCGUGGUGCGGGUCCAGCCGCGAAAGAGAAAGUAAAAAAAUGAUGAGAAACGAAGAAGAAGAAGAUACGAAGGAAAAGAAGAGGGACAAGAAUUAGAGAAAAAUAAAAGCAACAGAGAAGGAUCUUGGGUCGAGUGUGGAGUUCUCGGAGGGAACACGCUGUUCCUGGAAGCCUCGGCUUCUCGGUCCUCUCGGUCCUCUCUGCCUCGCUUCAUGUUUCAGUUAACUUUCUGCCAGCUCUUAUUACGGACUCAACGCUUUACCAGGCUGUGUGCUCCUCUGCGCCGUCUCGUGCUGAACUGCGCUGUCGUUUUUCUGGGGAUCCACAGAUUUCUCUCUCUUUCUCUAGUUUCAUCUUUAUCACUCUUCUUACUCUCUCGCUAUUUAACUCUAUGUCUCUCGCUUUCUCUACACCUUUACCUAUCGAUCCCUUAUAUCCAUCUUCUUGUUUUCUAUAUCUAUAUUCACUUCUACGUACUGGCAUAUGUAUAGGUGUACGUAUGUAAUAUAAAAAUCCAUCGCUGUACCAACGACCUUAAUAUUUUAUAUAGGUUUCAUACGACGCGAGUCACUUUGCUUUUUGCUCUUCAUGUCGAUCCUUUUAGCUCAUACCUCAUGCCCAGGACCACUGCUAUCGAAUGGCUGGUUGGAGCAAGUACUGUAAGAAAGAAAAAUUGUAAAUGAAAAUCUAAGAAAUGGAAAAUUAUAAUUUCGCAGAUUCGAUCCCUAUCGGAUGAAAUUCCACUGGCGAAUUACACUCUCACCGCCUCUGGCUGUAUUGCCUUCUCGAGGGCGCUGAUCUUCCUAUGGAGCGUUAUAAAUCGUAUAACGCUACUAUUGAUUCUAUCGAUGAUCCAAGAGCUGUCAUGUACCUCCUCCAAAAACACAACGAGUGCCAAAGACAGAUAUGAAAAGGAGUUUUUGACUGGAAUUGUCAUAGGGUCCUGUAGGAGUUUCUAAAAAGUCUAAACUACCGGAUGCCUGAUCGGGUGCCUCAAGGCGCAACCAGAACGGGAACAGGUCUUUGCACGGAGCCGUAUACGUACACGGCAAUCACAUAGAGUACAGGCAUAUGAGACCGGCACAGAUAGUAACCUUGUCUAGAAUGUAUCCAAGGCUGUUUCUCGGCGUGGCGAGGAAAAAUAAAUGAGAUGAAAAACGAGAGAGAGAAAUCCCAACUUACACCAUGUUGUUCAUAGAUAAUUCAACUUUUAAAUUCCUGAUUGGCUACGCCGCCUAUCUUACGUUUCUACAUGCCUGAAAAAAUCAUUAUACAAUCUCGGCUGCCAUUUAUAUGGCAAAUACGCGAAUUAUAUACUCUCAGGUUUUUCUUUAACGAUCGGUUCAUGAUUCAUUGGGAUAUCGACUGUGAACCGGUUCAAAAAACUGAUGAUUCCUCACAGUCAUCCAUUAAUAAUUCCGUAUCUAUAUACGUACUACGACGUCAUCCGUUUUACUUUUUUUUUCUUUUUUUUACACGGAUUUGCACGACGUCCUUGGUCAGCAGGAUUUCACGAGUCGCGAAAUCUCACCGAGGAUAGCGCGAUCGUUUUCAAUUAGACUUCUGACCAACAUACUCACAGUUAUGGGAUACAUGGACGACUUUGGCGUACGUGCCAGGCAUAGUUGUAUCCUGACUGGAUAUAUUGCCUGGAGAUAAAUAAGUCACUUUCACAAGAGACUCGCCUAUAGUCAACAGAAUCGUGAUGUCUUCUGGGACUUUUUUUUUAACGCACCAAUCCCCACCAUUUUGAAUUAACAUUCGUCGAUUCGCAUCUCUCGGUGUACAUCUCUGGUACAGGAUCUUUGCCAGAAAAUCCGUGAUGCUGUACCUUGGUUACAGUAUGAACGACCCACAUCCGCUUCUAUUUUCCUUUGCCCACUGCAGUAACCGUGUCAACUCCUACGUUUACGAUUUCGCGGAAGCCGAUGAAACGAACGUACAAUUCAGGCACGUCCUCAUGAGGCAUACAUGCGAUUGUACCAAUACACAUACACGUAUGUAGAUAGUAACACAUCUGUCAGCUUGCCAGGAAUCCGUCGUUUCGUUCGUCCAAGGAAGUCUCACAGGAUCGAUGAAGUCUGGAUGUAUGGCAACUUCAUUCUCCACCACGGAAUCGUCUUCAAGGAAGCAACAGAACGUUUCUGCGUCCAUGAAGGAAUUCGUAGAACCUCUGAAAGGCCUAU